GAGGCGGUAUCUCAGGAGAGAAUCGCACUCACCCAAGCAAGGAAAAUCGUGUCGACAAGUACAUAUUCCUUGACGAACGUGGUGUCACGUAUCUGCUCUGAGCCGAAGGGACCGAGACAGAAGG
Molecule: non-coding RNA, 124 nt
Organism: Paenibacillus popilliae ATCC 14706
Lineage: Bacteria; Bacillati; Bacillota; Bacilli; Caryophanales; Paenibacillaceae
Source: Rfam